RNA transcript from Contarinia nasturtii (swede midge), 883 nucleotides. RefSeq lists it as uncharacterized. The transcript is spliced from 3 exons. The record is from RefSeq and is a predicted model, not a curated record. Lineage: Eukaryota; Metazoa; Arthropoda; Insecta; Diptera; Cecidomyiidae.
UAUAAAUGCAGUCGAAUCUGCCCUUGUUAUUAGUAUAACAUUUCAUGGUUAAGCGACACGCACAUCUUUGAGUGUGACAAUGAAGCAAUUUUUAUUUUUCACCAUUUUAUCAUUUUUGGCUUUCAACGAUGUAUGUAUCAAAGGAGCCACCGCGAAUAAUAUCUACCAGAGCAUCGUUUUUAAGUUUGCUCUUCAAGCAAGUGCAAUUGAUUGGUAUCCUAAGAUUGAAGCUGUAUUCUCAUUAGCUCCAGAUUUUUCCGAUCAAGCUACUGAAAUUUUAAAUAACGUUCUUCGUAUCAGUGGGAAUCAGGAAAUAAACACACUUUGCAAUGAAUUGCUGUCGAUUCCAGCCGAUAUUGAUCAAAUUCCGAAUGACGUUCAAAGCGUCUUCAAUAACUGGACAUUUGUAUUAUCAGCAACCGAAGGCUAUGUCAACGCUAAUUUAAAAACCAUUACAAAUUUUCAUCAAAAAUAUGAAACUGGAUUCAUAAAACAUAUUAAUUUGGUGAAGAAAUCACGAUCACCAUCUGCUAUUUUAAAUUAUCUUAAGGCAGCCAAGAAAUUUGUAAACGAUUAUCAAAAGCGUCGUAAUAUUUGGGCAAAUGGUUUGAUGGGCGCAUCAUUGCAUUUUUAAACGAAUGCAGUAGGAAUUGCAAAAACCAAUUUUGAAAAUGAAUUUGAAAAAAGAAAACCAUUUUAAUUUGGUGAUCCGUUCGAUGGGACUGAGGUAGGAAAAAGUUAACUGUUUGAGUGUCAAUAGCCGAUUGUUUGCUACAUAUGUCCAUGUUACGGAUUUCUACAGAAAACACACAAGACUUUCGUUUUAUUCUUUUCUUAUGUUAAUAAAUAAAAAGAUUACAAUGUUCAUAUUUACAUAGCUUAA